Molecule: ribosomal RNA, 468 nt
Filed under: uncultured bacterium
Lineage: Bacteria
Description: SSU rRNA
Rfam family: Bacterial small subunit ribosomal RNA
Source: RNAcentral
AGGACGAACGCUGGCGGCGUGCUUAACACAUGCAAGUCGAGCGAGGACUUGUUCCUAGCGGCGAACGGGUGAGUAACACGUGGGCAACCUGCCCCGGGCUCUGGGAUAACUCCGGGAAACCGGAGCUAAUACCGGAUAUUCACUGCAGAAGGCAUCUUUUGUGGUGGAAAGUUUUUCGGCUCGGGAUGGGCCCGCGGCCUAUCAGCUUGUUGGUGGGGUAGUGGCCUACCAAGGCGACGACGGGUAGCCGGCCUGAGAGGGUGACCGGCCACACUGGGACUGAGACACGGCCCAGACUCCUACGGGAGGCAGCAGUGGGGAAUAUUGCGCAAUGGGCGGAAGCCUGACGCAGCGACGCCGCGUGAGGGAUGAAGGCCUUCGGGUUGUAAACCGUCUUUCUAGCAGGGACGAAGCGAAAGUGACGGUACCUGCAGAAGAAGCACCGGCCAACUACGUGCCAGCAGCCGC